This 443-nucleotide ribosomal RNA is filed under the name uncultured bacterium. RNAcentral describes it as "partial 16S ribosomal RNA". It matches the Rfam family "Bacterial small subunit ribosomal RNA", at positions 338 to 795 of the family's 1533-position model. The record is from RNAcentral.
CCUACGGGUGGCUGCAGUUGGGAAUAUUGGGCAAUGGGCGCAAGCCUGACCCCGCAACGCCGCGUGAAGGAAGAAGGCUUUCGGGUUGUAAACUUCUUUUCUCAGGGACGAAGCAAGUGACGGUACCUGAGGAAUAAGCCACGGCUAACUACGUGCCAGCAGCCGCCGUACUACGUAGGUGGCAAGCGUUAUCCGGAUUUACUGGGUGUAAAGGGCGUGGAGGCGGGACUGCAAGUCAGAUGUGAAAACCACGGGCUCAACCUGUGGCCUGCAUUUGAAACUGUAGUUCUUGAGUACUGGAGAGGCAGACGGAAUUCCUGGUGUAGCGGUGAAAUGCGUAGAUAUUAGGAGGAACACCAGUGGCGAAGGCGGUCUGCUGGACAGCAACGGACGCUGAGGCGCGAAAGCGUGGGGAGCAAACAGGAUUAGAUACCCCAGUAGUC